RNAcentral lists this ribosomal RNA (495 nucleotides) under uncultured Nocardioides sp. Its description in RNAcentral is "bacterial SSU rRNA". It matches the Rfam family "Bacterial small subunit ribosomal RNA", at positions 521 to 1011 of the family's 1533-position model. The record is from RNAcentral. Lineage: Bacteria; Bacillati; Actinomycetota; Actinomycetes; Propionibacteriales; Nocardioidaceae.
UAAUACGUAGGGUGCGAGCGUUGUCCGGAAUUAUUGGGCGUAAAGGGCUCGUAGGCGGUUUGUCGCGUCGGGAGUGAAAACCCAUGGGCUUAACUCAUGGCUUGCUUCCGAUACGGGCAGACUAGAGGCAUGCAGGGGAGAACGGAAUUCCUGGUGUAGCGGUGAAAUGCGCAGAUAUCAGGAGGAACACCGGUGGCGAAGGCGGUUCUCUGGGCAUGUCCUGACGCUGAGGAGCGAAAGUGUGGGGAGCGAACAGGAUUAGAUACCCUGGUAGUCCACACCGUAAACGUUGGGCGCUAGGUGUGGGAUCCAUUCCACGGGUUCCGUGCCGCAGCUAACGCAUUAAGCGCCCCGCCUGGGGAGUACGGCCGCAAGGCUAAAACUCAAAGGAAUUGACGGGGGCCCGCACAAGCGGCGGAGCAUGCGGAUUAAUUCGAUGCAACGCGAAGAACCUUACCUGGGUUUGACAUAUGCCGGAAAGCUCUAGAGAUAGAG